UACGGGGGGGGCAAGCGUUGUUCGGAAUUACUGGGCGUAAAGGGCUCGUAGGUGGCCAACUAAGUCAGACGUGAAAUCCCUCGGCUUAACCGGGGAACUGCGUCUGAUACUGGAUGGCUUGAGUUCGGGAGAGGGAUGCGGAAUUCCAGGUGUAGCGGUGAAAUGCGUAGAUAUCUGGAGGAAUACCGGUGGCGAAGGCGGCAUCCUGGACCGGCAUUGACGCUGAUGAGCGAAAGCUAGGGGAGCAAACGGG
RNAcentral lists this ribosomal RNA (253 nucleotides) under uncultured bacterium. RNAcentral describes it as "partial 16S ribosomal RNA". It matches the Rfam family "Bacterial small subunit ribosomal RNA", at positions 524 to 776 of the family's 1533-position model. The record is from RNAcentral.